Mycena belliarum is the source of this 73-nucleotide non-coding RNA. NCBI's taxonomy places the organism in Eukaryota, Fungi, Basidiomycota, Agaricomycetes, Agaricales, Mycenaceae. The record is from the annotation of a GenBank genome assembly.
GGCAGAAUAGCUCAGUUGGUUAGAGCAUCAGAACAUAAAUCUGAGGUCCUGGGUUCAAUUCCCAGUCCAACCA